RNAcentral lists this transfer RNA (53 nucleotides) under Camaena cicatricosa. RNAcentral's name for it is "tRNA-Ser". Lineage: Eukaryota; Metazoa; Mollusca; Gastropoda; Stylommatophora; Camaenidae. The record is from RNAcentral.
UAUGUAUUAAUUAGGAUUUUGAAAAUCUAAAAAGGUUUAAGCACCAUACAUAU